UUUCUCUGCCAGGACAAGUUUGUCGUCUGCUCUGAGCUAUCAAGCCCCUUAGGAGACCUAGGACCCAGCUGGGUCCCAUCCCUUUGGAGUAGCUGCUUCAGACUAGGAAGCACCUAAUUCUUGUGGGCAAAGGAGCCAUGGAAGAUAGAGCUGGUGAGCAAGAGCAGGAGAGACACAGCCUUCGUCUGGAAAAGCUACAACACUGGGCGAGGCACAGGCAGAGUGGGCACCUCUUGGUGCUAGCGGUGAGGCCAGGCUACCCCAUCCCAGGUCUCAGCAUGUCCACUUCUACCCAAUUCAAUUCCAUCCAUCCAUCCAUCCAUGUUAAGUGAGCACCUACCAUGUGCCAGAAACUGGGCUAGGUUCUGAAUGGGAGGAGGGUAGAGGAAAACAUAGAAAUAAACAAGGCAAGACCCUUAAUCUCCCAAGUAGCUUCCAUCUUGUGGGGGAAAACAUACAGGUAAGUAACUAAACUACAAUAUGAGGCAGAAAAAAUUAAAUGAUACUUAAUUUUUAAUGAUCACUUCCUUGCUCUGGGUUGACUGCUUUCCUCCACCCUGCAUUCAAUCCCAUUCGUGAUCUCUAAAGAG
This 590-nucleotide small RNA is filed under the name Pongo abelii (Sumatran orangutan). RNAcentral's name for it is "retained intron". Lineage: Eukaryota; Metazoa; Chordata; Mammalia; Primates; Hominidae. The record is from RNAcentral.